GAUGAACGCUAGCUACAGGCUUAACACAUGCAAGUCGAGGGGCAGCACGGAGAUAGCUUGCUAUCUUGGGUGGCGACCGGCGCACGGGUGAGUAACGCGUAUCCAACCUGCCCAUUACUCAGGGAUAGCCUUGCGAAAGUAAGAUUAAUAUCUGAUGUUGUUAAAAACCCGCAUGAGUUUUUAACCAAAGAUUUAUUGGUAAUGGAUGGGGAUGCGUGACAUUAGGUAGUAGGUGAGGUAACGGCUCACCUAGCCGACGAUGUCUAGGGGUUCUGAGAGGAAGGUCCCCCCANACUGGAACUGAGACACGGUCCAGACUCCUACGGGAGGCAGCAGUGAGGAAUAUUGGUCAAUGGACGAGAGUCUGAACCAGCCAAGUAGCGUGCAGGAUGACGGCCCUCUGGGUUGUAAA
RNAcentral lists this ribosomal RNA (412 nucleotides) under uncultured bacterium. RNAcentral describes it as "bacterial SSU rRNA". It matches the Rfam family "Bacterial small subunit ribosomal RNA", at positions 28 to 429 of the family's 1533-position model. The record is from RNAcentral.